GUUUCCGUAGUGUAGCGGUUAUCACGUUGGCCUUACACGCGAAAGGUCCCCAGCUCAAACCUGGGCGGAAACA
This is a non-coding RNA of Sinocyclocheilus rhinocerous, 73 nucleotides long. The record is from the annotation of a RefSeq genome assembly. Lineage: Eukaryota; Metazoa; Chordata; Actinopteri; Cypriniformes; Cyprinidae.